UCUGGUGACUUAUCGGAGAGGUCACACCUCUUCCCAUUCCGAACAGAGAAGUUAAGCUCUCCAGAGGCGAUGAUACUCGAAAGGGGAAAGUAGCUCGUCGCCAGAA
Molecule: ribosomal RNA, 106 nt
Filed under: Candidatus Yonathbacteria bacterium RIFOXYD1_FULL_52_36
Lineage: Bacteria; Candidatus Yonathiibacteriota
Source: RNAcentral